UGUCCAUUUCAAUAAAGUGUCAGAUUUCAUCACAAAUACAUAAAAAAUGAAUCACAAAUGACUCACCCAUUUGUGGCCAUUUUUGGCUGGCUUUUCCUUUUCAUU
Molecule: long non-coding RNA, 105 nt
Organism: Thalassophryne amazonica
Lineage: Eukaryota; Metazoa; Chordata; Actinopteri; Batrachoidiformes; Batrachoididae
Exons: 3
Source: RefSeq, a predicted model, not a curated record